AUGACCCUCUCCCGCAGCGGCGAUGGCCAGAGUGGCUCCGCGAGGGCGCACUUCGUGCUGGUACCGAUGAUGGCUCAGGGCCAUACCAUCCCCAUGACCGACAUGGCACGCCUGCUGGCAGAGCAUGGCGCGCAGGUCAGCUUCAUCACCACGCCGGUCAACGCCGCUAGGUUGGAGGGCUUCGCCGCUGACGUGAAGGCGGCAGGCCUGGCGGUUCAGCUCGUGGAGCUCCACUUCCCGAGUGUAGAGUUCGGCCUACCAGAUGGGUGCGAGAACCUCGACAUGAUCCAAUCAAAGAAUUUGUUCUUGAACUUCAUGAAGGCCUGUGCCGCGCUGCAUGAGCCGCUCAUGGCGUACCUCCGUGAGCAGCAGCACUCGCCUCCUAGCUGCAUCAUAUCUGACAUGGCGCACUGGUGGACCGGUGACAUCGCAAGGGAGCUCGGCAUCCCGAGGCUCACCUUUAGUGGCUUUUGUGGCUUCUCGUCCCUUGUCAGGUACAACAUAAAGAGGCAAACCUUGUACAUCAUUUUUCACAACAAUGUAUUGGAGCAUGUCACAGAUGACAAUGAGCUCAUCACGAUCCCGGGGUUCCCUACACCGCUAGAGUUGACGAAGGCUAAGUUGCCUGGUGGAACCCUUUGUGUUCCGGGUAUGGAGCAAAUCCGUGAGAAGAUGUUUGAGGAGGAGCUGAGAUGCGAUGGUGAGAUCACUAAUAGCUUCAAAGAGCUCGAGACAUUGUACAUUGAAUCCUAUGAGCAGAUAACAAGGAAGAAGGUCUGGACGAUCGGGCCAAUGUGCCUCUGCCACCGAAACAGCAACAGAACGGCCGCAAGAGGAAACAAGGCGUCAAUGGAUGAGGCACAGUGCUUGCAAUGGCUUGAUUCAAGGAAGCCAGGCUCAGUGAUCUUUGUGAGUUUUGGAAGCCUCGCUUGCACUACACCUCAACAACUUGUUGAACUGGGACUGGGACUUGAAGCCUCCAAGAAACCGUUUGUUUGGGUGAUUAAAGCAGGAGCUAAGCUUCCAGAAGUCGAGGAAUGGCUCGCAGAUGGGUUCGAGGAGCGUGUCAGAGACAGAGGUCUGAUCAUAAGGGGCUGGGCGCCACAAGUGAUGAUCCUGUGGCACCAAGCCGUUGGAGGAUUUGUGACGCACUGUGGGUGGUGUUAA
RNAcentral lists this ribosomal RNA (1167 nucleotides) under Triticum aestivum (bread wheat). Its description in RNAcentral is "partial small subunit ribosomal RNA". The record is from RNAcentral. Lineage: Eukaryota; Viridiplantae; Streptophyta; Magnoliopsida; Poales; Poaceae.